Molecule: ribosomal RNA, 508 nt
Filed under: uncultured bacterium
Lineage: Bacteria
Description: partial 16S ribosomal RNA
Rfam family: Bacterial small subunit ribosomal RNA
Source: RNAcentral
GACGAACGCUGGCGGCGUGCCUAAUACAUGCAAGUCGAGCGCUUCUUUCCUCCCGAGUGCUUGCACUCAAUUGGAAAGAGGAGUGGCGGACGGGUGAGUAACACGUGGGUAACCUACCCAUCAGAGGGGGAUAACACUUGGAAACAGGUGCUAAUACCGCAUAACAGUUUAUGCCGCAUGGCAUAAGAGUGAAAGGCGCUUUCGGGUGUCGCUGAUGGAUGGACCCGCGGUGCAUUAGCUAGUUGGUGAGGUAACGGCUCACCAAGGCCACGAUGCAUAGCCGACCUGAGAGGGUGAUCGGCCACCCUGGGACUGAGACACGGCCCAGACUCCUACGGGAGGCAGCAGUAGGGAAUCUUCGGCAAUGGACGAAAGUCUGACCGAGCAACGCCGCGUGAGUGAAGAAGGUUUUCGGAUCGUAAAACUCUGUUGUUAGAGAAGAACAAGGACGUUAGUAACUGAACGUCCCCUGACGGUAUCUAACCAGAAAGCCACGGCUAACUACGUG